Molecule: long non-coding RNA, 619 nt
Organism: Vidua chalybeata
Lineage: Eukaryota; Metazoa; Chordata; Aves; Passeriformes; Viduidae
Exons: 3
Source: RefSeq, a predicted model, not a curated record
CAAUUUACUUCUGAAGUGGGACACAAACCACCAGGACCAGCCUACAGACUACACUGCUCCUUUCUUGCACCUACCCCAGAAACUGAAGGGUGAAUUUAGGAUUAUGUUUCCUGAGCAAAAAACAAUUGUAGAAAAUUUUACAGAUGGAGCAAAAAAAAGAACCUUUCCUUUCUGAAGUGGAGACAGUUGCAGAUGCCUCUUUCCCUGGAGUACAGAACAGAGAAGCAAGUCUGUUUGAACAAAAGCAAAAAUACCCCAACAGCUACUAUAAAGAAAUGAUUUACCAAGAAGGAGACUGAAAAUCAGGCCACAAGUUACAAUUUUGGAAGCUUCCAUUUCAGAAGCAAAAAAAGGUUAACCAAUCAGAGAAAACAACUGUUGACCUGGAGAGAGGUCACUAAACUUUUUGAGGACUACUUCUAAUUCAAAUAGGUGGAAGAGUGUGCAGUGGGCAGAGCAUUUACCAUCUUUUCUUGAAAUCACCUAUGCUAUUGAAAUCCUGAUGUAAAAGGCUUGAGGGCUUCUGUCCUUGCCUCUCCAUUUACAGUAAAUGAAGGUGCUAUUCUUUUUUCUUUAAAGAAAAGCAUUAUUAAACUGUUCUAACAUCUUGAAGACCUUA